UACGAGGGGGGCGAGCGUUGUUCGGAAUUAUUGGGCGUAAAGGGUGCGUAGGCGGUUUGGUAAGUCUUGUGUGAAAUCUACAGGCUCAACUUGUAGUCUGCACGAGAAACUGCCGGGCUUGAGUAUGGGAGAGGUGAGUGGAAUUCCUGGUGUAGCGGUGAAAUGCGUAGAUAUCAGGAGGAACACCUGUGGCGAAAGCGGCUCACUGGACCAUAACUGACGCUGAUGCACGAAAGCUAGGGGGAGCAAACAGG
Molecule: ribosomal RNA, 254 nt
Filed under: uncultured bacterium
Lineage: Bacteria
Description: partial 16S ribosomal RNA
Rfam family: Bacterial small subunit ribosomal RNA
Source: RNAcentral